RNAcentral lists this long non-coding RNA (404 nucleotides) under Cucumis sativus (cucumber). RNAcentral describes it as "long non-coding RNA (CSAT_LNC001723)". Lineage: Eukaryota; Viridiplantae; Streptophyta; Magnoliopsida; Cucurbitales; Cucurbitaceae. The record is from RNAcentral.
AAUUUUUUGUUUAAUCUAACUCUAUCUUCAUAAUUGUUGUGCCACAUGUUCUCAAAUGCUUUAUUUUAAGCCUUCUUCCAUUAUUCCAUUCAACCCUCAACACAAAUGGUCACUUAUCAUUAGCUCCCAAAUGGUUUAUGUUAAUAUUAUCCCUAGAGAUGUAUUGGAAUGCAUUACAUAUAGUUGUGGGAUGAAAAUUUGAUGCAGCAUUACAUCUUUUAAUGCAUUACAUAUAGUAAAGCAUUUAAAGAUGUAAUGCAUUACAUAUAGUUGUGGGAUCAAAAUUGACUAAGGCAUUUCAAAAGAUUGACGACGUGGAGAUUUCAAAAGAAGUGAUAAAUGAUCAUACGAUAAAAUUCUUGUUCAUUUUGAUCAUUACAUAUAGUUCUUAGAUAGAUUUAUUC